This 208-nucleotide ribosomal RNA is filed under the name uncultured bacterium. Its description in RNAcentral is "partial 16S ribosomal RNA". It matches the Rfam family "Bacterial small subunit ribosomal RNA", at positions 29 to 253 of the family's 1533-position model. The record is from RNAcentral.
AAUGAACGUUGGCGGCGUGGAUUAGGCAUGCAAGUCGAACGCUUUAUGUAGCAAUACAUGAAGAGUGGCGUAAGGGAGAGUAAUACACAGUUAGCUACCCUCGGGUCUGGGAUAGCGGCGGGAAACUGCCAGUAAUACCAGAUGAUGUCUUCGGACCAAAGGUGUGAUUUCGCCCGAGGAGGUGACUGUGUCCUAUCAGCUAGUUGGC